Molecule: long non-coding RNA, 628 nt
Organism: Hordeum vulgare subsp. vulgare (domesticated barley)
Lineage: Eukaryota; Viridiplantae; Streptophyta; Magnoliopsida; Poales; Poaceae
Exons: 2
Source: RefSeq, a predicted model, not a curated record
CACUAUGCCCCUCCCUUAUCCAUCGUGCUGCACAGUCCUUUGGUCGGUUGUAAGGGUUGGUGAUGAGCUGGCCUGAGCUCCUCCAGCUCUGGCAGUGGCGCCAGCGAUGCCUGUUGCGACCGCCAGAGAAGCAACGCUGCGAAGCCGCGCCGCCCGGCAUAGCCCUUUCAUCAUGAGAGCUCCGCGUGGUCGUCCCCCACCCCUGUGCAUGGCUUCUCCGACAAGAUCCACCUGCACCCGAAAGCGCCGCCCCUCGGAGUUGGAGCUGUCAUCAACGUGGUGCUCACCGACGACUGCAUCCACCUCCAUCAGGUGCAGAAUCAACCAGCGAGUGCGCCUUUGUCCUUUCCCCCUCUAGUUUGCCGCAAGACACCGCUGGCGAUCUUGGAGUCCGUCGUUGUAUCAUUUCACCGCUUCUACCAUCAUGAAUAAAUAGUCAAGCCUCAUUUUGAUGUUUGGCAUGUAGUAGUACUUAAGAUGUGUCACUUCACUCGGAUGUGACAUGCCUACCUAUUUAUGUGAGCACUAGAGCAACCCCAUGACCAUAGUAUGGGUGUGUUGUGAUAAACAAUUGAGCGGCCUUCGCUCUACCCUGUUUAAUAUUAAGUACUACUGAGUUGGUCUAUCA